This 643-nucleotide unclassified non-coding RNA is filed under the name Centruroides sculpturatus (bark scorpion). RNAcentral's name for it is "uncharacterized LOC111637863, transcript variant X2". Lineage: Eukaryota; Metazoa; Arthropoda; Arachnida; Scorpiones; Buthidae. The record is from RNAcentral.
UAGUCUUUAAACAUGGCGGUUGUGUUUCCACUUUGUCUAAAAAUCCGACUGAAGCUUUUAUUUCUGAUAUAAUUAUUUCUUUUUACCAAGCAAUACAUUAUAUAACUCAUAUUCGCAACGGGGCAUUUGUAUAUUUUAUAUUUAAAUGUGUCUUUUAGCCAUAAGUCGACAUUCUCUGUGGAAAAAUUUGUCAAUUUCACACGUGGUCCACGUGUCUACGACCUUUCUGUCAUUUUCUGUGCUCCUGACAAAGAAGGGUGUUAGUUAAGCUAGUGUGGUGUUUAGUUAAUUGGGUGUUUUCUACUUUAGUUCUUCUUGUUAAAUAAUUAUGGAAAGUCAAUGCCACAAAAUAACACAGAGUUCCAAUAUUUGUAAUAAUUUUGGUGGUAAUAAUGAAAUAGAUUGUAUGAAAGACGAAAUAAACAAGACUCGUGAUGUUAAACAUGUUAUUAAAUCAGAAUGUCGAGUUGUUUUGAGAAGAUUGAAUAUUAAAGUAAAGACUGAAGGUUGUGACGAGGUUAUUCAUCUCCCAAAUGAAUAUGAAUAUUUAAAGCUUAUCAAGAAGAAUAAAUUCUUCACUCCUGAGAAAAGAUUUAAGAGAAAUGAAAUGAACAUCCAAAUUAAGAAAAAGGAACAGAGUGAA